CGAAAGAUUGACCCAGUUACUUAUUAGAAUGAUAUAUUCAAAUAUUAUAUAUAUUUUUUAAUAUAUAUUAAAAAAAAUAAUAUUAUUGAAUAACAAUAAAAUUCAUAAAUAACUAAAAUAAUGAUAUUAGUUACUUUUUUAAAUAAAAAAGUUAUAAUUAUUAAAUUAUAAUUUAAUAGUCCUAACCAAAAUUUGUGCCAGCAGCUGCGGUAAAACAAUGGGGGCAAGCGUUAAUCAUAAUGGCUUAAAGAGUUCGUAGAAUGAUAAUAUAAAUAUAUUAUUAGAGUUAAUUUAUAUUAAUUAAAGAAUUAUAAUAGUAAAGAUGAAAUAAUUAUGAUAAUUAUAAGACUGGUAUAUGUGAAAAUAUUAAUUAAUAAUUAACUGACAUUGAGGAACGAAGGCUAGAGUAGCAAUACGGAUUCGAUACCCGAGUAGUUCUAGCAGUAAACUAUGAACACCAUAUAUUAUAAAAAAAUAUAAUAUAAAAAUGAAAAUGUAAGUGUUCCGCCUGAAGAGUACGUUCGCAAGGAUGAAAUUCAAGACAAUAGACGGUUACAGACUUAAGCAGUGGAGCAU
Molecule: ribosomal RNA, 576 nt
Filed under: Kluyveromyces aestuarii
Lineage: Eukaryota; Fungi; Ascomycota; Saccharomycetes; Saccharomycetales; Saccharomycetaceae
Description: partial small subunit ribosomal RNA
Rfam family: Bacterial small subunit ribosomal RNA
Source: RNAcentral